CAAUGGGUUAAUCGUUCUCACAUAAUGUUAUCCAAUCAAUGAACCUAUUUUCUAUUUGACUGGUUUAAUUUAAAUACUUGCUCUUAUUGGAUUUUGUCUAAAGAAAGGUUAGCGAAAACGGUCAAACCAAUAAAACGGCAGAUACAAAGAAUCAGAGACCAUAGUCACCAGCAGAUUGCAUCCAUAUCAGGCAAACUGUUUAGUGGUGAAAAUGGAAUUCGAAGGGACCCUGAUCGAGAUAACAUUCAUAUUCACAUUGCUCUCACGAAUUGGGAGACAGAGUCAAAAGCCGGAAUAGCCUAAAUGACCAUUCAUUCUCCGAUCCGAUACCACAGAUUCUCGAAUCCCAGAUGAAUUUAUUAAAACUCUGCAGGAAACAGAAA
Long non-coding RNA from Drosophila pseudoobscura, 383 nucleotides. RefSeq lists it as uncharacterized. NCBI's taxonomy places the organism in Eukaryota, Metazoa, Arthropoda, Insecta, Diptera, Drosophilidae. The transcript has 2 exons. The record is from RefSeq and is a predicted model, not a curated record.